GUGGGGAAUUUUGGACAAUGGGCGCAAGCCUGAUCCAGCAAUGCCGCGUGCAGGAAGAAGGCCUUCGGGUUGUAAACUGCUUUUGUACGGAACGAAACGGUCCUGGUUAAUACCUGGGGCUAAUGACGGUACCGUAAGAAUAAGCACCGGCUAACUACGUGCCAGCAGCCGCGGUAAUACGUAGGGUGCAAGCGUUAAUCGGAAUUACUGGGCGUAAAGCGUGCGCAGGCGGUUUUGUAAGACAGGCGUGAAAUCCCCGGGCUCAACCUGGGAAUUGCGCUUGUGACUGCAAGGCUGGAGUGCGGCAGAGGGGGAUGGAAUUCCGCGUGUAGCAGUGAAAUGCGUAGAUAUGCGGAGGAACACCGAUGGCGAAGGCAAUCCCCUGGGCCUGCACUGACGCUCAUGCACGAAAGCGUGGGGAGCAAACAGGAUUAGAAACCCGAGUAGUCC
This 450-nucleotide ribosomal RNA is filed under the name uncultured bacterium. RNAcentral's name for it is "bacterial SSU rRNA". It matches the Rfam family "Bacterial small subunit ribosomal RNA", at positions 354 to 796 of the family's 1533-position model. The record is from RNAcentral.